AAUAGCGGAGAAAUUUAGAGAAAAGGGCAGUAGUAAGAGAACGUGUCUCUCUGGUGAGGAGAAAAAGCCUUUCACGCUUCAGAUUCUAUUCAAAGCUCCAGUUCGUGGUAUUCACUGUACUCUCUAUAAAGAGGGGAUGCCAGUGAGGGGCAAAGGUGUUGAGAUAGUGGUCACCAAAGAGAAGGCUGUCAUAACUUUGAAAAGACCGGAAGUGGAAGACAGCGGUGACUAUCAAGUUAAGCUUUCGAGUCCCACUGUGAGGGACAGAUUGAAGUAUCACUUCAAUUUUUACAAAAAGGAUGAGGAAACUGAGAUAGGAUCUAGUCCAUCUCCUAUAGAUGAGUAAGCUUUGAUCUCGUGUAGAAAAG
Molecule: non-coding RNA, 368 nt
Organism: Parasteatoda tepidariorum (common house spider)
Lineage: Eukaryota; Metazoa; Arthropoda; Arachnida; Araneae; Theridiidae
Source: RefSeq, a predicted model, not a curated record